Molecule: ribosomal RNA, 1323 nt
Filed under: Brinjal little leaf phytoplasma
Lineage: Bacteria; Bacillati; Mycoplasmatota; Mollicutes; Acholeplasmatales; Acholeplasmataceae
Also listed under: 1 other name
Description: bacterial SSU rRNA
Rfam family: Bacterial small subunit ribosomal RNA
Source: RNAcentral
AGACUGGAUAGGAAACAAAAAGGCAUCUUUUUGUUUUUAAAAGACCUUCUUACGAAGGUAUGCUUAAAGAGGGGCUUGCGCCACAUUAGUUAGUUGGUAGAGUAAAAGCCUACCAAGACGAUGAUGUGUAGCUGGACUGAGAGGUUGAACAGCCACAUUGGGACUGAGACACGGCCCAAACUCCUACGGGAGGCAGCAGUAGGGAAUUUUCGGCAAUGGAGGAAACUCUGACCGAGCAACGCCGCGUGAACGAUGAAGUAUUUCGGUAUGUAAAGUUCUUUUAUUGAAGAAGAAAAAGUAGUGGAAAAACUAUAUUGACGUUAUUCAAUGAAUAAGCCCCGGCUAACUAUGUGCCAGCAGCCGCGGUAAGACAUAGGGGGCGAGCGUUAUCCGGAAUUAUUGGGCGUAAAGGGUGCGUAGGCUGUUAGAUAAGUCUAUAAUUUAAUUUCAGUGCUUAACGCUGUCUUGUUAUAGAAACUGUCUUGACUAGAGUGAGAUAGAGGCAAGCGGAAUUCCAUGUGUAGCGGUAAAAUGUGUAAAUAUAUGGAGGAACACCAGAAGCGUAGGCGGCUUGCUGGGUCUUUACUGACGCUGAGGCACGAAAGCGUGGGUAGCAAACAGGAUUAGAUACCCUGGUAGUCCACGCCGUAAACGAUGAGUACUAAGUGUCGGGGUAAAACUCGGUACUGAAGUUAACACAUUAAGUACUCCGCCUGAGUAGUACGUACGCAAGUAUGAAACUUAAAGGAAUUGACGGGACUCCGCACAAGCGGUGGAUCAUGUUGUUUAAUUCGAAGAUACACGAAAAAUCUUACCAGGUCUUGACAUACUCUGCAAAGCUAUAGAAAUAUAGUGGAGGUUAUCAGGGAUACAGGUGGUGCAUGGUUGUCGUCAGUUCGUGUCGUGAGAUGUUAGGUUAAGUCCUAAAACGAACGCAACCCUUGUCGUUAAUUGCCAGCACAUAAUGGUGGGGACUUUAACGAGACUGCCAAUUAAACAUUGGAGGAAGGUGAGGAUUACGUCAAAUCAUCAUGCCCCUUAUGAUCUGGGCUACAAACGUGAUACAAUGGCUGUGACAAAGAGUAGCUGAAACGCGAGUUUUUAGCCAAUCUCAAAAAAGCAGUCUCAGUUCGGAUUGAAGUCUGUAACUCGACUUCAUGAAGUUGGAAUCGCUAGUAAUCGCGAAUCAGCAUGUCGCGGUGAAUACGUUCUCGGGGUUUGUACACACCGCCCGUCAAACCACGAAAGUUAGCAAUGCCCGAAAGCAGUAGCUUAACUUCGCAAGAAGAGGGAACUGUCUAAGGUAGGGUUGAUGAUUGGGGU